This is a long non-coding RNA of Cannabis sativa, 833 nucleotides long. RefSeq lists it as uncharacterized. The transcript has 3 exons. Lineage: Eukaryota; Viridiplantae; Streptophyta; Magnoliopsida; Rosales; Cannabaceae. The record is from RefSeq and is a predicted model, not a curated record.
AUUUACACUGUACCCGAACCUAUUUUAAAAAAAAGGUGGUGGUUUAACUCCGACCACCGCUUUUAGCGGAGAAAUCGUUCAAUCUCAACGUUCAUUAAGGUGGCCGGAUUUUUGGUCGCAAUUUGUCGCCGGAUUGCGUUUAUAAGAUAUGGCCAACUCGAGUUCGGGAUCUGAUUCAGACCCAGAGGCAGAGUGUCCAACAAUAAUACCUACAAGAGGGCCUACUCAAAUGAAUGAAAUAUCCAAGCUAAUGGAUCAAGGCAAAAGAGUGGCCCUCGAGGUUAAUGACAAAGGACAAUACUGUGGGAAAAGCUAUGCUAAGCUCGUAUCCACUCUAGGUGUCAGAUGCCGGCAGACGAUAGGGUUGUCCUAUAAAAACUGGAAAGAAGUCAACCCGACUCUGAAAAAUAAAGUUUGGAACGACAUACAAGUAAGCUGUUAUUUGUUAGAAUUUUGAUUUGUUUUUCUAUUACUUCAAAUGUUGACUCUAACCGUGUUUGUUUUCCUUCAAAAUAGACGGGGUUCAUUGUGCCGGACUCCUUCAAACAUGAUUGUCUCAUCCUAGCUGGGAAGUUAAUGAAAGACUUCAAGAAUAGGAUGACAAAAGACAUCAUAAUGCCCGCUUUGAAAGAGAAGGAUCUGGGACGACUGGCACAAGUCCCUGAAAAGCACCCCGAGAUCGACGCUGCUGAUUGGUGCAAAUUUGUUGAAAGUCGACUAACUCCUGAAUUUCUGGUACGCUAAUUAUAUUAACACUAAGAUAAACUCUUAAAUACAAGUACAUGUAUCUAAUGUAUUUUUUUGGCAUUGUAGGAAUUGAGUAAGGUGCAACG